This 29-nucleotide non-coding RNA is filed under the name Rattus norvegicus (Norway rat). Lineage: Eukaryota; Metazoa; Chordata; Mammalia; Rodentia; Muridae. The record is from RNAcentral.
UACCAGUCUUUGGUCUCCAUGACUCUUGA